RNAcentral lists this long non-coding RNA (5856 nucleotides) under Brassica napus (rape). RNAcentral's name for it is "long non-coding RNA (BNAP_LNC026727)". Lineage: Eukaryota; Viridiplantae; Streptophyta; Magnoliopsida; Brassicales; Brassicaceae. The record is from RNAcentral.
CUCGAGACAAAUCCUCAUAACAAGAAGUAAAAGAAAAAGAAAACCCACAAAGGGUAAAAUUUGAUGAGCGAUUAUAAACCUUUUAUCCAGCUUUAGACAAGGCAUAAGUGAGGCUAAGGUGGGUUUUAUUCUCCAGGCACCGAGACUCCUUGCUUCAGCCUCUCCCGCUUGAGCUUCUUUUUAGAAACUGGCUUCUUCUUCUUUGGAGGUAGGUUCUUCUGUGCAUGCACGUAGAGCACGAUGUUGGCAACAAGGAACACAACAAGCGGACCUCCGAUAACAAGCAGCACGAUUAGUCCCGGGUUCAAUCCUCUGGCUUCAGCAGCCGCCUAUGGAAUGUCAAACCAAUGACAAUGAGUGCAUAUAAAUCAUACCAAACAUAGAAUCAAAAGAUAAAGGCCAAGGAAAAAAAAAUGCUUGCAACCCAUAUACACAUUGUCACAUGUAACUGCAAUAACUCAUAUAUUCUAGUCAGUUUGUCCUGCAAUGCUUGCAACCCACGUUUCCUCAGAUCCUAAACAAAAUAGUCUAAAUUCCUAAGGAACAAAUCAUCAGACCAACCGUAAGAUACCUAAUUGCUGGGAUCAUAGAGAAAAGGAGCCGUUAAAUACUACAAAAGCUACAAGUAUAAGGACGAUUGAAGAUACCUUUCUGGUAAAAUCUUCGCCGUCCAUGAAUACGAUCCGAAAUCUCUGAGAGCAACGUAAGAAUGGUGGAGAAGGGAGAAAGAAGGAUGAUCUGAUGAAAACGAAGAUCCGUUUUCGAACAGAAGAGAUUAAGACACAAACACACGCAGAUAAUGUAAUAACACGUUUUUUUAUCCUUUACUUCCAGUCUUUGUGAAACUCUUAUUUGGACCCCUUACGUUUCAGGUUUUUCCCAAUUCAACUCGUAACUUUUGUCAUACAAAGUUAAACCCCUAAUUAAGAAACCAACUACGUGUACUAAACUCAUAAAAUGAAUUGAAUGUUACAACACAAAUCAAAUAAUCAAAACAACACAAAAUACAUUUUCAUCUAUACCAUAUGGUCAUCGUCACCUCUAAUCAUAACAUUAUGUUCCGGCACAGACCAGGACGAAGACCUACUAGAAUUCAACGCCAAAGUAUUGCAAUCAGAUAAAGUAUCUUGCAAACUCAGCAACAAAUGCGAAGUGCUAAAACUCAUAGUCGGUCUCGACUUAGGCACAACCGGUACAUCAGCCUCACCAAUCAGCAUUUGCACCACUGACCUCAUAGUGGGCCGAGCCUCUGGAUCCGGAUGAGAACAAGCUAAGCCCACCACCAUAACCCGCCACAUCUCCCCUUCAUCGAACUUACCUUCAAGCCUCGAAUCCGCCGCACCCGUAACUUUCCCUUCUUUAUACAAACCCCACACCCAUUCUACCAAAUUCGGAUUCGCCCCAACGUUUUGUCUCUGCGCAUUCAAGUCCUUCUCGAUCGGUCUCCUUCCCGUAACCACUUCAAGAACCACCGCUCCAUAGCUGAAAACGUCUGUCUUCUCCGUGGCGCGACCCGUUAAAAGAUACUCCGGCGCUAAGUACCCCAUCGUCCCGGCGGCGACCGUCGCUUCCGGCGAUUUAUCGUGUUCGAUUUGUCUAGCUAACCCGAAAUCUCCUAGCUUGGCGUUGAAGUUCUCGUCUAGCAUUAUGUUACUGCUCUUCACGUCUCUGUGUAUCACCUGAUUCUCACACUCCCUAUGUAGAUAAGCAAGAGCCGACGCAACUCCAAGCAAGAUCUUCUUCCGGUGAUCCCACGGCAACGGAAACCGUGACUCAAACAAAGCCUUAUCAAGCGAACCGUUAGGCAUAAGAUCAUACACCAACAGAAUCUCACCUCUCUCGUGGCACCAUCCUUGUAACCGGACAAGGUUUCUAUGUCUGAGGCUUCCGAUGAUGGAUAGCUCCGACAUGAACUCGUUCUUCUUGUCUUGCGAGCUGUGGCUACACCGUUUCACAGCGACGACGUCUCCCGUCUCGGGGAGAACGCCUCUGUAGACGACCCCGAAGGCGCCGUGUCCGAUGCUUCGACUCUCGUUGAAGCUCCUCGUAGCGGCUUUGAGCUCCUUGUAGCUGAACUCUUUAGGAGCUUUGAUGAUCUCCGACGCGAAGGAGUCAUGCCUCUCCACGCGUUUGAACUUCCUCGAGUAGGCCCAGAACAAACCGCCGGCGAAUAGCGCUAAGAAGAAAGCUCCGGCGGUUACCACUCCGGCGAUUGCUCCACGGUUCUCUUUGCACAAGUGGUUGCGGCAAGACGACGACGGCGGAGUUUUCGAUAGAGAGCUGACCGGAACGGCGGAGGAAGACGGUUGCGAGGCAAUCGGCGGCGGAGAGUUAACCGAAUUAGCUUUCGGAUUCACUAAAUUAGCAGUGGGAGGAGAGGGUCCGGAUCCGGAUCCGGACCCGGGACCCGACCCGAAGGAUGACCUGAAGCUCCACCACUCGAUGCUGUGGCUCUCAGUGCUUCCCUGAGUAGACCCGGAGAAACCAACGAACAUGAAGUCGUUAACGUAACGGUCAAGAUCGAGAGGGAAAGACAAAACAGGAGAUUUUGGUUUCAGAUUCGAGUAAGAGACGGAUACGUUGAAGACCCGAGUCAACCCGUCGUAUUCGAUCCACGAAUUAACGGUGUUUCCGCUUUUUAAAUCAAUGUCUACAGUGCCGAGAUCCCCAGAAACAGACGAAACGACGCCGUUUACAUCGAACCCGACGUGGUUGCUGUUAAUAUCCUUAAAGUCGACGUCCAUCAACGUGUCGAACUCCACAGCGACGAAUUUGGACCCGGCGGGGCCGGCGGGGGCGGCGAGACCAAGCGAGCCACCGGCGGCGCCGAUAGUGUUUCCGUCUGGGGCGAUAACGAAGGCGAGACCGCCGCCGAUUGAAGAAGGGUUUAUGUUUGUGAUGGAGAAGGAGAGAAAUUCAACUCUUGAUAGUUGAUAUGCAAUGUGAUUCUACUGAAAACGCGGUUCCCUGCGGCAAAAUAGAAGUCAUCAAAGUUGACAAAUCAAACUCUAAACUUGCAAACAUUGGUGAUCCCUGCGUGGGGGCCCCGGUAAAAGGACCACCAAGGCAACAACCACAGUCGCGAAGAUCCAGCAAACACCACUCGUCUCACCAACCCCCUUCACCGGGUCCCAUAUUAUCUCAGAUAUAUACAGUCAUCAGUGUUAUUUUUUCCAAAUCAGCCACAUAAACUCACUCUCUGUUUUAUUUGUUUUUAUUUAUCAUCCAUAAAUACAACACCCAGACAAAAAAUGUAUGACGUGUUUCAAUAAAUAGAACAAUUUUUUUUAUGAAAAUAAAUUCAUCAGGUAACGAUUGUAUUUUUGAGUUUAUCAAAACUACUAGAAAGAGAACAAUAUAUUCGGUGACCAUCUACAUAAUCCAUAAUAUACAGUUUGUAAGUAAUUUUGAUAAUUUAAAAAAUAAUUUUAGAUACUUAUAGAAAAAUUCUCUAGGAUAGUUUUUUUUUAAAUUAUUAUCACAAAAUAGCCAUCAAUAUAUUUUUACCCUAGAAUUAACUAAUCUAAACUUAGGGUUUAGAGUUAAGGGGUGUGGUUUUGGGAUAAAGUUUCAAACUUUAAAAAAUAAAAAAUAAAAAAUAAAUAUUAAAAAUUUCAAAAUAAAAAGGGUUAUUUUGGUCAUUUUUUUAGAGCUAUUUUGUGACAAAAACUUAAAAAUAACUAUCCGAGAGAAUUGCCCAAACUUAUACUAUAUACAUUAUAUUUUAAAAUUUUAGGAACCAUAAAGCAAAGUUUCAUUUGACUAUGCUCAGAAUAAGCUUAUGUAUACAAUGAAUAAGCUUAUGUAUACAAUGAUAUUGUGUUACUCAACUAGAUCAAAAUACAGCAAAUCAGAUCAUAGAGCGGAGGAAAGCCAUAUAAUCAAAAUACAUUUACUCGAGAAUAUGACACUAUAUUUUUUCACUUUGUAAGUAUCAUCUUUGAAACCAUUGGGGGCGAAGAAUGAGAAAUUGCAGACGGUUGAACAUUGGCAUAUGACCCUAAUUAACAUCCAUAAUCCCAUUGUGAUUUCACAAGAAAAAUAACUAAUAUCUUCUCCUAAUCAACAUCUUGCUCUUCUUGAUUUUAUGAGAUUGUGUUUCCUGACUCUCAUAUGACCUGAGCAAAUAUAAAAAUUCAUUGUCAGAACCAGAACAUAUAAAGACUUGAUACAAAGUCUGAUUCAAAGCAAAAUUACAUGUAAACAGCAUGUCUAUAGAGAGCUUUUCAAUAGCAGGCAUCCAUAAAAUUUUGACCGGUGAUUGCAAUGGCUAACUCAGCUCUAAGAAAGUAGGCGAUCAAGCUCAUCAAACCCAUCAUCUUCAUCAUUUUCAACAUCUUUCAGAAGUUUCUGUGUCCUAUCAAGACCAUCAAGCUUGGGUUUUUCAUAAAAUGAAAGUUUUUGCAAAUCGCAUUCCUCUUUCAGUUUCUCCACUCUAUCUGACAUCAGCUCUUUCUCUUCAGCUAUGUGAUUUAUGUCCUCAGUAUCCACUACUUCUCCUGCACCUUAAAAUUACACCAAAAAAUAAGAGAUAUAAACAUAAGGAAUCAUGAUAUGGUAGUACCACACAUUUCACACAUGCUUCAAAUGAGGAGAUACCAUAAAGUUGCUCAUAAAACAGUUCAUAUGAAGUAACAAACUUUUCACUGCACGCCUCUUGGCCUCUGCAUAUUUCAUAGACAUUUUAUGUAGGGAACUCAGAUCAAUUUCAUUACCCUGAUAAGCACCAUAGCAACAAUAAUGGGUCAAUAUUCCUUGUCCUCUAUCCUAAGCAAAGAGAAAUAUAGCUAUGCACAGGAUUAGGUAUCUUGUACUCACCAUAUCAAAAUGAAUAAAUUGCUCAAUCUCCGUUUCAGACGUUAACCUGUUCAAGUCAAAAUGAGAAUAAAUGUUACUAACAACAAGGUCAUGCCAAACUCCGAUUUAUUAAGGGACAAAGUGACAUACUUUCUAUAGGCACACCGCACAAGUGAAUUUUAAGGUUUCCACUUUCCAGUGUGGAGUUGAAGCAGUUUUACAAGUUCCAAUGGAACUCUUAUGUAAUAAAUGCGAAACAGUGACAUUUACCACGAGGAAUGCGACAGCCUUGACUCUUACGUUUUCGAGAACGCUCUGUUGACCUAGACUCUUAAAAUGUCACAACUCUUUGUUCAUACUUCUACAACAAAACUGGGAUUGCCAGGCUUAUUACAUGAAAAAUAUGGGAAUGAAAGUCUCAUAAAUAAUUGAUAGUAAAUGAUUGGAAUAUCGUGAGCAUGAUGGUGUGAUGAAUUGAUAUAUUUUAAGGAGUAAUAAACAAAGGUCGACUCUCCUGGCGUCUUGAUUCUCUGACUAUACAAAUUCAUAACAUCAUACUUUUAGUGAGAAUGUUACUGAUUGAUCUAUUUAUUAUUGUAACAUACGCAAACAUCAAAUAUUUUUCUCAUAUGCUAUUCAGUUUGGCAAAGACUGAAUUAGUUUACACAGCAAGGUUAAUGACGACCAACAAGGAAACCAAACAUCAAAUAGUAUAAGAUUGAAGCUGAGAAACUGUUGCAAAGAGGAUGAGAGAGCCACUAUAGCUGCAAUCAGGCGUGUGUGCAGGAAAAACUCUACUUAGCCUCCAAGUGAAAUCAUACAGAACUCGAGACAAAUCCUCAUAACAAGAAGUAAAAGAAAAAGAAAACCCACAAAGGGUAAAAUUUGAUGAGCGAUUAUAAACCUUUUAUCCAGCUUUAGACAAGGCAUAAGUGAGGCUAAGGUGGGUUUUAUUCUCCAGGCACCGAGACUCCUUGCUUCAGCCUCUCCCGCUUGAGCUUCUUUUUAGAAACUGGCUUCUUCUUCUUUGGAGGUAGGUUCUUCUGUGCAUGCACGUAG